Molecule: long non-coding RNA, 4859 nt
Filed under: Brachypodium distachyon (stiff brome)
Lineage: Eukaryota; Viridiplantae; Streptophyta; Magnoliopsida; Poales; Poaceae
Description: long non-coding RNA (BDIS_LNC001843)
Source: RNAcentral
GCCGAGCGAGGAGGUCGCCGCGAACGCCACGCUGCACGCAAUGGCGCGCUGGCGGUGGCGGUCCUGCCCAAGGAGUGCAGCCGGAGCCCCGCGUCGUGCAUGGUCUCUCUGAAUCACCGGACGCUGAACGGGCGGAGCGGCUGCCUGCGCGUUCAUGGGGUUACAUUGCAUACCCGGCAAGCGGCCGUCCAUGGCGCCGCUGAUCCAGCAGUCGCAGCCGGCGUCUGUGCCAGGUAUACUACUUGAACUACUUGAACUACGGAGUACUUGAACAUGACCCCCCCUUCACAUUAUUUCUCUCAUUUUAGCUCGCCUAUUACGAAAAGCAUCACAAUAUUCACUUUCUGAACCCCGCUAGUUUACUUGCAGCUCGUGAUGGACACACUUGUUGCCUUCUUUGGCUCAACGUCGACGAGGAUCACAAGAGAUGGUAACUGGUAACCUCCCAAGGUACCUACCACCACCCUAGGUUGUCCAUACAGCUUAAAAUUAUAUACUCCGUAGUACAUUUUAUGCUACACUGUACACAAAAUGCUAGGCAUUGGAAAUGUCAUGUUCCAUCUUUUAGCUGCAAGAUAUCACACCCAUGGAACCUUUUUUAUACAUUCAUUAAGGCGCCUGCAGUUUCAUAGUAAUAUAUCUAGAUUGCCCAAGGCAACUGUAAACUAUAGUAUCUCAAAUUGAUGAGUCCAACUUGAUUGCGUUGCCCAAAUCUUUGUAUUAUGUUGCGCUGGGGCGAAGUUCUACAAGUGAAGCAUAGGCUCCACCAGCGAUGCCCAUCAGUGUUUCAUGCCUCCCUUUCUCCACAAUUGUGCCGUCCUUCAGGACUGCAAUUAUAUCAGCUCCUUGGAUCGUCGAGAGGCGGUGUGCCACGAUGACAGUUGUCCUGCCAACCAUCAUGCGAUCCAAUGCAUCUUGAACAAUGCACUCUGACUCGGCAUCUAACGCACUAGUUGCCUCAUCCAGAAGAAGUACCCUCGGGUCCUUGAGAAUAGCUCUGGCGAUAGCUAUACGCUGUUUUUGCCCGCCUGAUAGUUGGGUUCCUCUGUCUCCAACAUUCGUGUUGUAACCCUGUGGCAUGCUUGAUAUGAAUUCAUGGGCAUUGGCCGCUUUAGCAGCCACGACAAUCUCAUCCUCAGUUAUCUCUCCAUGCUUUCCAUAUGCUAUGUUGGCAUGUAUUGUGUCAUUGAAAAGUAGUGGUUCUUGGCUUACCAAUCCCAUCUGGUCCCUCAACCAACUGAGCUUUAAGGUUUUGAUGUCCACUCCAUCGAAUAAGAUUACACCAGAUUCAAGAUCAUAGAAACGCUCUAGUAAAGCAAUUGCUGUAGAUUUGCCGCUGCCACUUUCACCAACCAGUGCAACAGUCUGCAAUAAACAGGUUGCUAAGUAAGUCCUUGGAAACAACUACGGAAGCACAGCAGAUUGGACCCUCAGAAUAACUGAGAGAAGAUGAGAAAAUUAGGGUUCUGGUUUAAUUAAGACCUUUCCAGAAGGAAUGCUCAAGGUAAAGUCACUGAAUAUUUGAACAUCCGGACGGGAUGGGUAUUUGAAGCUGAUAUGCAUAAAAUCAAUGUCACCCUUAACAAGAUCCAUAGUUGAACCUUCAAUGCUGCUGGAGUCAAUUUGUGAUUUUCUAUCUAAGAUUGUGAAUAUGGAAGUUGCAGAAUCAUUUGCCUUGGUUGAACAGGAAGCCAUAGUACUAGUUUGUGUUGCUCCAAUCAUGGCCACAGCUAAAGCAAAGAAAGCCUGCAUUACAAUAUUUUGAAGCAGAUAUAAAGAUAGAAUGUUCAUGAAGAAUCUUUUGGUGUUGUUGAAAUGAUUCGUACUGAUUACCUUGUAGACGUUGCCAAAAUUGGAAUUGCCCUGACUAACAAACUUGGCACCAACAUAGUAACAAAGAGCACAGGUGGAAUACAGCACCAUAUAUGAGAAGCCAAAACCAAGGCCUCCAACUAUUCCAGUUCGAAUUCCCUGAUUCUUAGAAGCUCGACACUUUUUAAUGUAUUUUGUCAUCACUCUCUUCUCAGCACAAAAAGACGAUACUGUUCUGAUGUUACUAACUGCUUCAGUUGCAACCUGACUUGCUUCUUCAUACAUGGUCUAUGAUCACAUAUCAACCAUAAAAAACAUAAAUUACAAUUGGCACCCAUGUGCAUUAAAAGACAACACUGGUUACAGCAUUGUAGCAGAGGCACUGUUAAUGAAAUGUGCUAACUUAUCCACAUUUUUUCAGCAUGAGGUCCGUAUUCAGUAUACCUAUCGAGCUUUUGCGCUUUAGGAAGGACAAAAGAAAGCAAAACUAAUACUAAAUAAAAAGUUCAUAACAUAAAGCUAGUUCAUGGCUCACCUUAGUAUCUUGACUAAACCCUUGUAAGAACUUUACUUGAGCAUAACCCUCGAGACCUAUUAGAGGAAUCACAAUUAAGAUGACCAGUGAAAGCUUCCAGUCUGCGCUCAUUGCUAUUACUAUUCCACAAAGAAGCGUUGAAGUACAUUGGACCAUCAAGGCCAAGUUACCCCCAACAAGACGCCUCACAUUAAGGGCAUCAACACAUAGCCUUCCACCUAGUGCUCCACUGCAAGAGGUGAAAGAGACAGUUAGUAUCUUGACUGUUCCAUUUUCGUGAAUAGAUCAAGAUAGCUCACCUAUUAUUUGCAGGAUGAUCAAACCAAGCAGCCUCUUGGUACACUAUGUUUUGAAAUGUCAAAACACGUAUUCUUUCUAUAAGUUUCCCACCAGCUAUUGCAAAUAGAAAGCUAUUUGCUAGCUUUGAUAUCAUACUCAUCGCACCCAACCCAACACAGAGCAAUCCCCAAAAGGUAGAAUCUUUCUGUCGCUUGUCUGCUGGUAAUUCAUAAAAUGUUUUAGCACUGGUAGCCAUUACAUAACCAAUCAUUGGGUAGACAGUUCCGUCAAUUGCAGCCGCAAGAGAACCAAAUAUAAGAAAUGCCAUUUCUGGUUUGUUUAGGCUAAUUAGGCGGCCCAUCGGGCCCUUCUUGGAGACCUUGCCAUUAGUGUUAUCGCUAUCAGCACCAUCAUAAUCUUGUAAUCCAGUAGGCCCAUGCAAGCUGUCUGGAGGGCUUAAAGAAUGAUGACUGGUCCCAGCUGCACUUCUGCUAGUUGAUCGUUUGAGUGAUUGACUUCUUUUAGAUAAUGAACCUGGUAAUCCAGCAUCUAAGUGGUCGCCAGUGUCUUGGUGUGCCUCUUGUAGCCGAAUAAGCUGAGAGUAUGCCCCACUAGGAUCCUUUACCAAUUUAUCAUGAUGUCCUAAAUGAACCACUUCAGUUUUAUUACUCUAUUUUGGCACAAACACAACGGAAAGAUCGAGCAGGGAGACACUAACCUUGUUCGAUUAGUUUUCCUUCAGAAACAACUGAGAUGCAGUGAGCAUUCCUAACUGUGCUCAAACGGUGCGCCACGAUAACCGUGGUCCUCCCAACCAUGAUCUUGUUUAGCGCUUCUUGGAGUACUCUCUCAGACUCUGAAUCCAAAGCACUAGUUGCUUCAUCGAGCAAAAGGAUUUUCGGAUCUUUUAGGAUUGCUCUUGCGACUGCGAUCCUUUGCUUCUGCCCCCCCGAAAGCUGAGCACCAUGUUCUCCAACUGCUGUGUCAUAACCCUGAAAUCAUAUGAAGGAGUCAUUAGGUUUAUGUUUGUAUAUGCAUGAUGGGUUAUUAUUGAACAGAUUGUGUUUAAUUUAAGUACAUUAGGCAAAUUCUCAAUGAAUCUUGCCGCGUUGGCAAGCUCAGCUGCUCUCUUGAUUUCUUCAAGUGUUGCAUCCUCUUUUCCGUAGGUUAUGUUCUCCUUGAUAGAUGUCAUGAAUAGCAUUGGUUCCUGGUUAACAAGGCCAAUCUUCCCUCUAAUCCAGUCUAGUUUAAAACUCUUGAUGUUCAUUCCAUCAAUCAACACUUCGCCAGCCCGUGGAUCAUAAAAUCUCUCAACCAGAUUGAUCACAGUUGAUUUGCCACUCCCACUCUCACCAACUAUGGCCAUUGUUGUGCCAGUUGAAACAUGCAUUGAAAAUCCAGCGAAUAUUAGUUGCUCUGGCCUGCUUGGAUAGCUGAAAAACACAUCCCUCAGCUCUAUAUCACCCUUGAUGUCUUCUAACACAACACUGGUAGUAUCAUCAUAGUCGAUCUUUGGUUUCCUAUUGAUUGUUGUAAACAACCUGUACGCCGCAACUCUCCCUUCCUCAAAGGCAGCAAUGCAGGGGGUUGCAUCACCCAAUGAUCUACCCCCAGACAGUUGAAAAGUUGCAUGUUAGAGCAGACAUACUAUCUUAAUAUUGUAUUGGUGGAAGUAUUAUUACUUGUGUCAGAACUAGCUACUUGUAUUUAUUUAUUUUUUAAAGGAGAGAGGCAGAUAUUGGUGGCAACUCAAGAAUCUGUUACAAAUCACAAGAGUCACAAGACAUGACUACGUGGCUACACCUCUAUGUCCUACUAAAACUAACAAGGAUUAGCAAAUGUUUUAAAUUACUAUACAUGUCUAUCUAUUGGUUGAAUUUAAUUAGUAAGCUGUUUUUUUUUGCGUUAAUACUAACCUUGCUGCUAUCAUGACGCAGAACAAUAUACUCAUGAUAUCUGCUCCACUAUAUCCUCCGCUGAGGGUUAACUUACUUCCAUACCAUAGAAUUAAUCCAAUGCCUGAGAAAGUGGCGAAGGUAAGGAAACCCAUGCCAAAACCUUGGAUAGUCCCUUCCUUGACCGUACCCUUGUAUGCCUUCUUUAUGUAAUUGUUGUAUAAGGUCAUGGCUUUCUUUUCACCAUUGAAUGAAGCCACCUGUUAUAAUAUGAAUACAUGUUAGUUGAGAAUUUGUCAUUCUUGAUUGCAGCAUCGACACCGGGCGUACCGUUUUUA